CUCAAAGCAAAGCACCGAGGAAAAAAAAAAAGGAAUAGACAGAACAGCCCGCGCCGCGACUCUUCUGCUAUGGCGAAGCCGGCGGCAGCGAGGAAGCCCUCGGCGGCGUCUACCGUCGCGCUAACGCUCGCCCUGGCCCUCGCCUCCGCGGGCCUCCUCUUCCUCCUGCUCAGCCUCUCGCCCUCCUCCCCGUCCCCGACCGCCCACCAGCACCGCCGCCUCCGCCUCCGCUCCCGCCACCGCCAGAUCCCGUUCGACCCUGUCAUCGCGGACCUCGAGCGCCGCCUCGAGGACCGCGAGUGGGAGCGCCUCGCCGCCGCGGGGCUGCACGCACCGGGCAUGGAGGCGGCGCCCGUCCCCGGCGACCUCUCCGGCGGCGAGGCCGACGCCGACGAGGACUAUAUCAACGACGCCGCGCGGUUCAACGUCACGCGCCGCGUGGAGGCGCUGUUCCCGAAGAUCGACGUGGACCCCGCCGACGGCGCCGUCACGGGCGCCGAGCUGGCCGCGUGGAACCUGGCGUCCGCGCGGCGGGAGGUGCUGCACCGCACCGCUCGGGAGCUCGAGCUGCACGACCGCGACCACGACGGUCGCAUCGCCUUCUCCGAGUACGAGCGGCCUAGUUGGGCCUGGCGGUUCGACGAUCAUAACUCAACUAAUGAUGGGGUGGGAUGGUGGAAGGAAGAGCACUUCAAUGCAUCAGAUAUGGACAGUGACGGCUUUCUAAAUCUCACUGAGUUUAAUGACUUCUUACAUCCAGCUGACACUAUCAAUCCUAAGCUAAUACAUUGGUUGUGCAAAGAAGAAGUCAGGGAAAGAGAUAAAGACAAUGAUGGAAAGCUCAAUUUCCAAGAGUUCUUCAGUGGAUUAUUUUACUCGAUUCGACAUUAUGAUGACGAAGCUUCAACAGAUGACUCCAAUGGCUCUGAUGCACCUGUUAAAAAAUCAUUUUCGCAGCUUGAUCUAGAUAAUGAUGGGCUCUUGUCAGCGGAUGAGCUAAAGCCUAUAAUUGGAAAUCUCCAUCCAUCAGAACACUUCUAUGCCAAGCAACAAGCUGACUAUGUAAUAUCGCAGGCUGACACGAACAAAGAUGGACAUUUGAGUAUGAAAGAGAUGAUUGAGAACCCCUAUGUAUUUUACAGUGCUUUAUUCACAGAAGAUGAUUAUGGGUUUCAUGAUGAGCUACGCUAGUUCCUUUAAGCAGCACAAAGCUUUGUGGAAUCACCACCUUAUGUACACUUUGUUUGGCACUGCUGUGAAUAGAUCAUUUCCAUGUGGCUGCAAGCACAUUUUAUGGUGAUUCUCUGUAUAACACGCGCAUGUAGUUUCAUGCACCCGCUCUAGAAGUAAAGUGUUCUUUUGUAACCUUAACCUUUUCUACAUCAGUUUCUCCACAUGUAGGGUGAGGAGGUGAGGUGGUAUUCGUUCUUUCAUUUUUUUUAUACAAAAAUAGUAGCUUGUUCAAGAAUCACAUUUUGUAAACAACAAAAACCAGGAAGGUUUACUGUAGGCCAUGUAUUGGCCUUCCCGAA
RNA transcript from Phragmites australis (common reed), 1532 nucleotides. RefSeq lists it as uncharacterized. The transcript is spliced from 8 exons. The record is from RefSeq and is a predicted model, not a curated record. Lineage: Eukaryota; Viridiplantae; Streptophyta; Magnoliopsida; Poales; Poaceae.